AUUGAACGCUGGCGGCGUGCCUAACACAUGCAAGUCGAGCGGUAACGCGGGAGCAAUCCUGGCGACGAGCGGCAGACGGGUGAGUAAUGCUUGGGGUAUCUGCCCAAUAGUGGGGAAUAACCAGUCGAAAGACUGGCUAAUACCGCAUAAGCCCCCUCUUCUUCGGAAAAGGGGGGAAAGCGGGGGAUCGCAAGACCUCGCGCUAAUGGAUGAGCCCAAGUCGGAUUAGCUAGUUGGUGAGGUAACGGCUCACCAAGGCGACGAU
This 265-nucleotide ribosomal RNA is filed under the name uncultured bacterium. RNAcentral describes it as "partial 16S ribosomal RNA". It matches the Rfam family "Bacterial small subunit ribosomal RNA", at positions 30 to 280 of the family's 1533-position model. The record is from RNAcentral.